Non-coding RNA from Manis javanica (Malayan pangolin), 2536 nucleotides. NCBI's taxonomy places the organism in Eukaryota, Metazoa, Chordata, Mammalia, Pholidota, Manidae. The record is from RefSeq and is a predicted model, not a curated record.
CAGGCCCUGGUGGAUGAUACUGAGGAUGUGUCCCUGGACUUUGGCAACGAAGAGGAGCUGGCCCUUCAGAAAGCCAAGAUCAGCUUCUAAUGGCUGCUGGCUUCAGGCCUCUUCGUCUAUCUGCAGGACCAGCACGGCACCCCUCGGCCACCUUUUUCCACCUGUUCUUCCGAGUAAGCGCCAUCGUCACCUACGUCAGCUGUGACUGGUUCAGCAGAAGCUUUGUGGGCUGUUUCGUUACUGUGCUUCUCCUCCUGUCCCUCGACUUCUGGUCUGUGAAGAACGUCACUGGAAGACUGAUGGUGGGCCUCCGCUGGUGGAACCAGAUAGACGAAGACGGGAAAAGCCACUGGAUUUUUGAAGCCAGAAAGGUCUCUCCGAAUAGCACUGCUGCCACAGAAGCGGAAGCACGAAUCUUCUGGCUCGGCCUCAUUAUCUGCCCGAUGAUUUGGACUGUGUUCUUUUUUAGCACCUUAUUCUCCUUGAAGCUAAAGUGGCUGGCCCUCGUGAUAGCUGGCAUUUCCCUCCAAGCCGCUAACCUAUACGGCUACAUCCUUUGUAAGAUGGGAGGGGAGAAUGACAUCAGCAACAUCACAGCCAGUUUUCUGUCCCAGACGGUGUUCCAGACGGCCUGCCCAAGUGACUUUCAGAAGCCUGGCCUCGAGGGGCUGGAGAUUCACAAGCAUUAGGUCAUUCCACGUCGGCGUGCGUUGCCUGCUAGGCUUUCCCGAGACUGUCCACACCGGUGUCCUCCUGUGACAUGCAGGUUGUCUCAGGACCGUGUGUCAGCCCGGCGUCCAGUGGGACAGUGCCUGCCAGCUGCUCACCAGAGCGUCUCUGAUGCUCGCUAUGCUCGCUGGCUUGCUCUGUGGCUUCAACUGGAGGUGCCGUUUGGGAACCUGUAAUCCAUCACACAGGACUGUGCCCCCUGGGAGGAACUCAGUUCCAGCCUGGAACUGAGCAGGGAGCAGCCACUGGGCCCCCCUGCUUCGCUGUCCUCCCUUGUGAAGAGCUCAGGCCUUGGCUUCUAUGUGAGCAGUGGCCCUGACAGCAAGGCCUGCCGCUCUCCCGUGCCCCUCCUGACGUGGCAGCGACUGGCCUCGGGAUCUGAGGCCCGGCAGCUGCUCCAGGCUCCCUCCCAGGCCUGGCUUGGGGGACCCACACUCAGGCAGCAGGUGGACGCUGACGGUGGACAGUGGUCCAGACCCCCGCCCUUCUGAAUUCCACUUGCAUGGUUUGGCCCACUGCCUCCAGAGGCCCUGGGGUGGGAGAUACCCACUCAUACAACAGCCCGGGGACAUGAGGGGAGAUGCAGCGCCACUUCUGGUCAGCGAAAACUGCUCACUGAGUUUUAUAACACCCAGGAAGUGGGGAAAGCAGUUGUUCUCUAUAUUUGGGAGAGAAGCACAUACCAGAGAUGUGUUCUCAGGACAGGCUCUCCUGGCACCCUAGGUCCUCAGAACAGCCGUCUCAGCCCCUUCCCACCCCUACAGGGCAGGCGCCCUCCCGGCCAGGCUCGGGGCCCCUCCUCUCCACUGCCUGCUGCGAACUGGCCCUGAGAGCCAUCCCACCCCCACACCUGACCGGCCUCCUGAGCUUGCGGGCAAACCAGGGCCUCCCGCCUCCCGCACAGCACCCGGCUGAGUUCAUGGGGUAACGUGCCCCCUUCCCAACGCUCAGGCUGGACAGCACGGACAUCUGAUGCCUUCUGUACCCCUACCGUCAAAACUGUGGUCACUUUCCCCGUGUGCGCCCUUUCCUCUCCAGGCCCACGCCCAGGCCCUAGGCGCGUCCUCCCCUCCUCCCCACGGUCCGUCCGGAGCAGGCAGCCCACGGCCCCUCUGCAUUUCCUGGUGGCCACGCUUAUCUCAGUUUCCCCUGUCUUACCAGAGGAGUCCACACCCGUGGCCUGGCGCAGAGCUUUCCUCUCCUGGAUCCGGCCUCCCCUGCCUCCCCUUCUCUCCCCAAGCCCCACUUCCUCAUGGGUGUGGCCAGGUCAGAGGCGCAUGGAAAUCAAGUUCAACUGGGCUCUCUUGGGAACAAAAAUUCGGAGGAGGGGUGUAAUUUAGAGUGCAGGUGGCCCUCCCCACCACCCCCGUGGGCAAGCAGAUGCCCUGGAGCAAGUGUGGAUGGAGAAGGGUCAGCCACCCCCCACCCCUCCUCAGGCCCUGUGCCGCUCAUGGGGCAAGCAUCCCAUGGGUUCCUGGGGGCCUCUGGUACUGAAAGGGGCACCUUUCCCAUGCACCUCGGCCCGUAUGGGCAGGCCAGUGAUUUCACGUAGUGCUGAGGCAGCGGGCACUUGUGUCAUUUCCUGUCCCCUCUCCCUGGGGACUUCCUGUCUAGUGCCCUCUCGGCCUGCACCCCGGCACCUCCUGGAACUCGGGCCGGCCCAGCUGCCACCACUGACCUGCUUGGCCCCAUGCCCACGUCCUCACUGCCUCUCCCAGCCGCAGGCCAGGCUCUGGGCCCCACGCCCACUGGGCCGAGGGGCACACGGGCGGCUGAGCACGGUGCAGGGUCAGGGCUGUGUGGUUAG